AAAGACGGAUACGCAACCGCUUUGCAGUCUUCUAGGCAUGUAAAGAGGAAAGUCCGAACUUUAACCUUAGGGAUUAUCCUUAAGGUAAACGGUAGCAGGCAAUCCCUGUCGCUCGUAAGGGUAGAGGUGCGAACAGAGACGCUUUUCUUAGAAAUAAGAGAAGUAUCCUUGUAAAAGGAUAAGUUUUCGCGGAAACGCGGAAGGUGAAACGGCAAAAUCCUUACCGGAAAGCAAGGCUGAAGUAUAGCCGCUUGACUGUUAAAAGUGAUUUUAACAGCAGAGAAAUGGUUGCGCUUUCAAGUUUUGAAAGACAGAAUUCGGUGUAUAAUUCGUCUUUAUAA
Molecule: RNase P RNA, 341 nt
Filed under: Candidatus Endomicrobiellum devescovinae
Lineage: Bacteria; Pseudomonadati; Elusimicrobiota; Endomicrobiia; Endomicrobiales; Endomicrobiaceae
Description: RNase P RNA component class A
Rfam family: Bacterial RNase P class A
About the family: Ribonuclease P (RNase P) is a ubiquitous endoribonuclease, found in archaea, bacteria and eukarya as well as chloroplasts and mitochondria. Its best characterised activity is the generation of mature 5'-ends of tRNAs by cleaving the 5'-leader elements of precursor-tRNAs.
Source: RNAcentral